RNAcentral lists this ribosomal RNA (468 nucleotides) under uncultured bacterium. Its description in RNAcentral is "partial 16S ribosomal RNA". It matches the Rfam family "Bacterial small subunit ribosomal RNA", at positions 28 to 507 of the family's 1533-position model. The record is from RNAcentral.
GACGAACGCUGGCGGCGUGCUUAACACAUGCAAGUCGAACGGAAAGGCCCUGCUUUCGUGGGGUGCUCGAGUGGCGAACGGGUGAGUAACAUGUGAGUAACCCGCCCUUGACUGGGGGAUAACUUCAGGAAACUGGGGCUAACACCUGCUAGGAGCUCCUGCUGCAUGGUGGGGGUUGGAAAGCUUAGGCGGUUUGGGAUGGACUGGCGGGUUAACAGCUUGUUGGUGGGGUAGUGGCUUACCAAGGCUUUGACGGGUAGCCGGCCUGGGAGGUGGACCGGCCACCUGGGGACUGAGGUACGGCCCAGACUCCUACGGGAGGCAGCGGUGGAGAAUAUUGCACAGUGGGCGGAAGCCUGAUGAGGCAACGCCGCGUGCGGGAUGACGGCCUUCGGGUUGUAAACCGCUUUCGCCUGUGACGAAGCGUGAGUGACGGUAAUGGGUAAAGAAGCACCGGCUAACUACGUG